UGGGGGAUCGUCUAGUGGUAGGACGACGGGUUCUGGCCCCGUUAGCGAGGGUUCGAGUCCUUCUCCCCCAGCCA
This 74-nucleotide transfer RNA is filed under the name Bacillota bacterium. RNAcentral describes it as "Firmicutes bacterium (anaerobic digester metagenome) tRNA-Gln". It matches the Rfam family "tRNA". Rfam says of the family: Transfer RNA (tRNA) molecules are approximately 80 nucleotides in length. Lineage: Bacteria; Bacillati; Bacillota. RNAcentral also lists the same sequence under 2 other names. The record is from RNAcentral.